RNAcentral lists this unclassified non-coding RNA (183 nucleotides) under uncultured Aureobasidium. RNAcentral describes it as "sequence contains ITS1". The record is from RNAcentral. Lineage: Eukaryota; Fungi; Ascomycota; Dothideomycetes; Dothideales; Dothioraceae.
AAGAGUAAGGGUGCUCAGCGCCCGACCUCCAACCCUCUGUUGUUAAAACUACCUUGUUGCUUUGGCGGGACCGCUCGGUCCCGAGCCGCCGGGGAUCCGUCCCAGGCGAGCGCCCGCCAGAGUCCAACCAAAACUCUUGUUAAUCGUAACCGGUCGUCUGAGUAAAAAUUUUUGAAUAAAUCA